AUCUCAUGGUAAGGACAUUUCAAGAGCUUCUCUUUGAAUCUUCCCCAAGCUCCAUACCAUGGUUCUUCAUAGAGUUGAUGAAAAUUAAUGAUUUCAUUUCGCAAUU
This is a non-coding RNA of Capsicum annuum, 106 nucleotides long. NCBI's taxonomy places the organism in Eukaryota, Viridiplantae, Streptophyta, Magnoliopsida, Solanales, Solanaceae. The record is from Rfam.